This 439-nucleotide ribosomal RNA is filed under the name uncultured soil bacterium. Its description in RNAcentral is "bacterial SSU rRNA". It matches the Rfam family "Bacterial small subunit ribosomal RNA", at positions 26 to 507 of the family's 1533-position model. The record is from RNAcentral.
AGAGCGAACGCUGGCGGCAGGCCUAACACAUGCAAGUCGAACGGACCCUUCGGGGUUAGUGGCGGACGGGUGAGUAACACGUGGGAACGUGCCUUUAGGUUCGGAAUAGCUCCUGGAAACGGGUGGUAAUGCCGAAUGUGCCCUUCGGGGGAAAGAUUUAUCGCCUUUAGAGCGGCCCGCGUCUGAUUAGCUUGUUGGUGAGGUAAUGGCUCACCAAGGCUACGAGCAGUAGCUGGUCUGAGAGGAUGACCAGCCACAUUGGGACUGAGACACGGCCCAAACUCCUACGGGAGCAGCAGGUGGGGAAUAUUGGACAAGUGGGCGAAAGCCUGAUCCAGCAAUGCCGCGUGAGUGAUGAAGGCCUUAGGGUUAGUAAGUCUCUUUACCCGAGAUGAUAAUGACAGUAGUCGGAGAACGUAAGCCCGGACUAACGUCCGCG